This 629-nucleotide ribosomal RNA is filed under the name uncultured bacterium. RNAcentral's name for it is "bacterial SSU rRNA". The stretch from base 1 to 532 matches the Rfam family "Bacterial small subunit ribosomal RNA", at positions 338 to 873 of the family's 1533-position model. The record is from RNAcentral.
CCUACGGGAGGCAGCAGUGGGGAAUCUUGCGCAAUGGGCGAAAGCCUGACGCAGCAACGCCGCGUGCGGGAUGAAGGCCUUCGGGCUGUAAACCGCUUUCAGCAGGAACGAAAAUGACGGUACCUGCAGAAGAAGGAGCGGCCAACUACGUGCCAGCAGCCGCGGUGACACGUAGGCUCCAAGCGUUGUCCGGAUUUAUUGGGCGUAAAGAGCUCGUAGGCGGUCUAAUAAGUCGGGUGUGAAAACUCUGGGCUCAACCCGGAGACGCCAUCCGAUACUGUUAUGACCUGAGUUCAGGAGGGGAGCGGGGAAUUCCUAGUGUAGCGGUGAAAUGCGCAGAUAUUAGGAGGAACACCGGUGGCGAAGGCGCCGCUCUGGACUGAAACUGACGCUGAGGAGCGAAAGCAUGGGUAGCAAACAGGAUUAGAUACCCUGGUAGUCCAUGACGUAACGGUAGGCGACUAGGUGGUGGUUACGUAACGUAACGUAAACGUACCGCCGCCGUCGCGUACGACUAUUAAGUCGUCCCGCCGUCGGGUAGGUACGGUCGCGACGAACGUAAACUAACAAGUAGUAAGUUAGUACGGUUCGUUGUAGACGUUGCCGACGGACGACGACGAGGGAGGAGG